RNAcentral lists this ribosomal RNA (417 nucleotides) under Pleurobema sintoxia. RNAcentral's name for it is "partial large subunit ribosomal RNA". Lineage: Eukaryota; Metazoa; Mollusca; Bivalvia; Unionida; Unionidae. The record is from RNAcentral.
UUAGAGGCAAACGGGUGGACCCGCAAUACGUCGACCCGGGGGAUUCAACCAGGCCGUGCGUUCGGGACGCGUGGGGGUUAUGCGGAGCUGUAAAGCCCGUGCCUUUGCGUAGGUCUCCGGGCGGACUGGUGCACUUUCCUCGGGUUGAUUGCCACGACCGGCUCUCCGUGCGACCACAAGCCUUUGCUGGGAAGGUGACCGUCGGCCUCCGCGCCGGCGGUGUUAUAGACCAGCUUGUUCGUUGAGCUCGUCGGAGGGCCGAGGAAGUGUUGCCGUUUCUCAGCCACCCUCCGGCCAUCCUUGCUCGUCACGACUGGGGUGAACUGCUUCGUCAGUGCUCUCCCGACCGCGAGCGUAGGAAGGGCUGGUACGGUGCGAGAAAGCUUCGGGCCAGUGGCGAAUCGGUCGGUCCUCCAC